Molecule: ribosomal RNA, 382 nt
Filed under: uncultured bacterium
Lineage: Bacteria
Description: bacterial SSU rRNA
Rfam family: Bacterial small subunit ribosomal RNA
Source: RNAcentral
AUUGAACGCUGGCGGCAUGCCUAACACAUGCAAGUCGAACGGCAGCACAGCAGUAGCAAUACUGUGGGUGGCGAGUGGCGGACGGGUGAGGAAUACGUCGGAAUCUGCCCAGUCGUGGGGGAUAACUAGCCGAAAGGUUAGCUAAUACCGCAUACGACCGAGAGGUGAAAGCGGGGGGACCGCAAGGCCUCGCGCGAUUGGAUGAGCCGACGUCGGAUUAGCUAGUUGGCGGGGUAAAGGCCACCAAGGCGACGAUCCGUAGCUGGUCUGAGAGGAUGAUCAGCCACACUGGAACUGAGACACGGUCCAGACUCCUACGGGAGGCAGCAGUGGGGAAUAUUGGACAAUGGGCGCAAGCCUGAUCCAGCAAUGCCGCGUGUGU